GAAGGGAGGGGGAUAAAUACUCUUCCUUUCGUGUUUUGAUAUCUUGUUGUUUUGCUACUCUCACUUUGGAGUUCGGAUGGUGUCUAGCAACGUUGGGUACCUCGUUUCUUGUGUGAGCGAGUGGUUGCUGUUUACGACGUGUUCAUAUAUCGAUUUGUAGUGCUGUAAUGUGCAAAUUAGCGGACUUUAUAGCGGCUCUCUAUUUUCGGUCGUUGUCUUUCGAGCAGCGCCUAUUGUUCCGGUAAAAAUCGAGUUGAAUGAAUCGCCACAGCCCCAACGUAUAUCGCGCAGUGUUGACCAAGACCAAGUCAAGCAGGAAUUCUGGCAUGGUAUGUGGCUGCACGGAGGAUAAGAAAAACAACAACAUGGCUAAUAGGAUGUUGCUGCCCAGGGAGUCCUGGCCGAAGAGGUUUACUCAUUCCAGAAGCAAGAAUUGUACAAUUGUAAGGCGAAUGGAAAUAAACUGACAUCGACUGAGAUA
Long non-coding RNA from Ornithodoros turicata, 481 nucleotides. RefSeq lists it as uncharacterized. NCBI's taxonomy places the organism in Eukaryota, Metazoa, Arthropoda, Arachnida, Ixodida, Argasidae. The transcript has 3 exons. The record is from RefSeq and is a predicted model, not a curated record.